Molecule: ribosomal RNA, 398 nt
Filed under: uncultured bacterium
Lineage: Bacteria
Description: partial 16S ribosomal RNA
Rfam family: Bacterial small subunit ribosomal RNA
Source: RNAcentral
AUACGUAGGGUGCGAGCGUUGUCCGGAAUUACUGGGCGUAAAGAGCUCGUAGGUGGUUUGUCGCGUCGUCUGUGAAAUUCCGGGGCUUAACUCCGGGCGUGCAGGCGAUACGGGCAUAACUUGAGUACUGUAGGGGAGACUGGAAUUCCUGGUGUAGCGGUGAAAUGCGCAGAUAUCAGGAGGAACACCGGUGGCGAAGGCGGGUCUCUGGGCAGUAACUGACGCUGAGGAGCGGAAGCAUGGGUAGCGAACAGGAUUAGAUACCCUGGUAGUCCAUGCCGUAAACGGUGGGCGCUAGGUGUAGGGGUCUUCCACGACUUCUGUGCCGUAGCUAACGCAUUAAGCGCCCCGCCUGGGGAGUACGGCCGCAAGGCUAAAACUCAAAGGAAUUGACGGGG